UACGUAGGGUGCAAGCGUUAAUCGGAAUUACUGGGCGUAAAGCGUGCGCAGGCGGUUCUGUAAGUUUGUCGUGAAAUCCCCGGGCUUAACCUGGGAAUUGCGAUGAAGACUGCAAGGCUAGAAUCUGGCAGAGGGGGGUAGAAUUCCACGUGUAGCAGUGAAAUGCGUAGAGAUGUGGAGGAACACCGAUGGCGAAGGCAGCCCCCUGGGUCAAGAUUGACGCUCAUGCACGAAAGCGUGGGGAGCAAACAGG
RNAcentral lists this ribosomal RNA (253 nucleotides) under uncultured bacterium. Its description in RNAcentral is "partial 16S ribosomal RNA". It matches the Rfam family "Bacterial small subunit ribosomal RNA", at positions 524 to 776 of the family's 1533-position model. The record is from RNAcentral.